UGUGGGAAGUGGCGAACGGGUGAGUAACACGUGAGCAACCUGCCCCUGACUCUGGGAUAAGCGCUGGAAACGGCGUCUAAUACUGGAUAUGUGACGUGAUCGCAUGGUCUGCGUCUGGAAAGAAUUUCGGUUGGGGAUGGGCUCGCGGCCUAUCAGCUUGUUGGUGAGGUAAUGGCUCACCAAGGCGUCGACGGGUAGCCGGCCUGAGAGGGUGACCGGCCACACUGGGACUGAGACACGGCCCAGACUCCUACGGGAGGCAGCAGUGGGGAAUAUUGCACAAUGGGCGCAAGCCUGAUGCAGCAACGCCGCGUGAGGGAUGACGGCCUUCGGGUUGUAAACCUCUUUUAGCAGGGAAGAAGCGAAAGUGACGGUACCUGCAGAAAAAGCGCCGGCUAACUACGUGCCAGCAGCCGCGGUAAUACGUAGGGCGCAAGCGUUAUCCGGAAUUAUUGGGCGUAAAGAGCUCGUAGGCGGUUUGUCGCGUCUGCUGUGAAAUCCGGAGGCUCAACCUCCGGCCUGCAGUGGGUACGGGCAGACUAGAGUGCGGUAGGGGAGAUUGGAAUUCCUGGUGUAGCGGUGGAAUGCGCAGAUAUCAGGAGGAACACCGAUGGCGAAGGCAGAUCUCUGGGCCGUAACUGACGCUGAGGAGCGAAAGGGUGGGGAGCAAACAGGCUUAGAUACCCUGGUAGUCCACCCCGUAAACGUUGGGAACUAGUUGUGGGGUCCAUUCCACGGAUUCCGUGACGCAGCUAACGCAUUAAGUUCCCCGCCUGGGGAGUACGGCCGCAAGGCUAAAACUCAAAGGAAUUGACGGGGACCCGCACAAGCGGCGGAGCAUGCGGAUUAAUUCGAUGCAACGCGAAGAACCUUACCAAGGCUUGACAUAUACGAGAACGGGCCAGAAAUGGUCAACUCUUUGGACACUCGUAAACAGGUGGUGCAUGGUUGUCGUCAGCUCGUGUCGUGAGAUGUUGGGUUAAGUCCCGCAACGAGCGCAACCCUCGUUCUAUGUUGCCAGCACGUAAUGGUGGGAACUCAUGGGAUACUGCCGGGGUCAACUCGGAGGAAGGUGGGGAUGACGUCAAAUCAUCAUGCCCCUUAUGUCUUGGGCUUCACGCAUGCUACAAUGGCCGGUACAAAGGGCUGCAAUACCGCGAGGUGGAGCGAAUCCCAAAAAGCCGGUCCCAGUUCGGAUUGAGGUCUGCAACUCGACCUCAGAAGUCGGAGUCGCUAGUAAUCGCAGACAGCAACGCGCGGAACGCG
This 1266-nucleotide ribosomal RNA is filed under the name Actinomycetes bacterium. RNAcentral describes it as "bacterial SSU rRNA". It matches the Rfam family "Bacterial small subunit ribosomal RNA", at positions 87 to 1370 of the family's 1533-position model. The record is from RNAcentral. Lineage: Bacteria; Bacillati; Actinomycetota; Actinomycetes.